AUUAUUAUGCAAGCCAGAGAGGGAGCUCUAGGCAGGUGAUUAAACAUGCCUUUGGCAACAGGGCAAGGAACAGAUGCUUGGGAGGACACACCUUGAAAUUGCAGGCUGGCUCCCAGUGUCUUGAUGGACCCUACGGCACAUUGGGAGAGACAGACAUUCAGCAAAUGAUGACUCAAUAAUUGUGGAUUGGAUUUCUUGUACAAAGUGGCAAAGUGGAAAGACAAGAAGGCUUGCAUUUAAAGUCAGACCAACAACCUGCAGACAUGGUUAAAAUUCCAGCUCUCGGACAUAUUGGCUGUGUGACAGAGGACCCAUCACUUCCUCUCUCUCAGUCUUAACUUUCUACCCUCUAAAAUUGAAUGAUAAUUGCUGGUGGA
Long non-coding RNA from Pongo pygmaeus (Bornean orangutan), 377 nucleotides. RefSeq lists it as uncharacterized. The transcript has 2 exons. The record is from RefSeq and is a predicted model, not a curated record. Lineage: Eukaryota; Metazoa; Chordata; Mammalia; Primates; Hominidae.